UAUAGAUGGAUCCGCGCUGCAUUAGCUAGUUGGUAAGGUAACGGCUUACCAAGGCAACGAUGCAUAGCCGACCUGAGAGGGUGAUCGGCCACACUGGAACUGAGACACGGUCCAGACUCCUACGGGAGGCAGCAGUAGGGAAUCUUCCGCAAUGGGCGAAAGCCUGACGGAGCAACGCCGCGUGAGUGAUGAAGGUCUUCGGAUCGUAAAACUCUGUUAUUAGGGAAGAACAUAUGUGUAAGUAACUGUGCACAUCUUGACGGUACCUAAUCAGAAAGCCACGGCUAACUACGUGCCAGCAGCCGCGGUAAUACGUAGGUGGCAAGCGUUAUCCGGAAUUAUUGGGCGUAAAGCGCGCGUAGGCGGUUUUUUAAGUCUGAUGUGAAAGCCCACGGCUCAACCGUGGAGGGUCAUUGGAAACUGGAAAACUUGAGUGCAGAAGAGGAAAGUGGAAUUCCAUGUGUAGCGGUGAAAUGCGCAGAGAUAUGGAGGAACACCAGUGGCGAAGGCGACUUUCUGGUCUGUAACUGACGCUGAUGUGCGAAAGCGUGGGGAUCAAACAGGAUUAGAUACCCUGGUAGUCCACGCCGUAAACGAUGAGUGCUAAGUGUUA
Molecule: ribosomal RNA, 613 nt
Filed under: Staphylococcus aureus
Lineage: Bacteria; Bacillati; Bacillota; Bacilli; Caryophanales; Staphylococcaceae
Description: bacterial SSU rRNA
Rfam family: Bacterial small subunit ribosomal RNA
Source: RNAcentral